UGGGGCAUCGUCCAAUGGUUAGGACACGGGAUUUUGGUUCCCGUGAUGGGGGUUCGACUCCCUCUGCCCCAGCCA
RNAcentral lists this transfer RNA (75 nucleotides) under Candidatus Coprovicinus avistercoris. RNAcentral's name for it is "tRNA-Gln". It matches the Rfam family "tRNA". From Rfam's summary of the family: Transfer RNA (tRNA) molecules are approximately 80 nucleotides in length. Their secondary structure includes four short double-helical elements and three loops (D, anti-codon, and T loops). The record is from RNAcentral. Lineage: Bacteria; Bacillati; Actinomycetota; Coriobacteriia; Coriobacteriales; Coriobacteriaceae.